RNAcentral lists this ribosomal RNA (134 nucleotides) under Acinetobacter sp. ANC 4169. RNAcentral's name for it is "partial 23S ribosomal RNA". The stretch from base 1 to 116 matches the Rfam family "Bacterial large subunit ribosomal RNA", at positions 2799 to 2925 of the family's 2925-position model. The record is from RNAcentral. Lineage: Bacteria; Pseudomonadati; Pseudomonadota; Gammaproteobacteria; Moraxellales; Moraxellaceae.
CCGAGACUUUAUGUCUCCUAAAGAGCCGUUGAAGACUACGACGUUGAUAGGUUGGAUGUGGAAGUGCGGUGACGCAUGAAGCUGACCAAUACUAAUUGCUCGUGAGGCUUGACUAUACAACACCCAAACAGUUG